This 208-nucleotide long non-coding RNA is filed under the name Helianthus annuus (common sunflower). Its description in RNAcentral is "hypothetical non coding rna". Lineage: Eukaryota; Viridiplantae; Streptophyta; Magnoliopsida; Asterales; Asteraceae. The record is from RNAcentral.
CUCUCAACAUGGAAGCUUCUAAAUUAUUUGAGAGCAUCCUAUGAGUUCUUUUCAGUCCCUAGGACCAUAUGUACUACUCGUAAUUGGCUGGAAGCUUCUGGGCGUUAAGUAGAGGAUCUUGUAAGUCCGUAAUGCCUUAUGUCUGUUGAACAUGCUGUGUAUUUGAUUUAGAUCUGCCUGUGGAUUUAAUAUUACAAGCUCGUACGUA